RNAcentral lists this unclassified non-coding RNA (1132 nucleotides) under Hevea brasiliensis (rubber tree). The record is from RNAcentral. Lineage: Eukaryota; Viridiplantae; Streptophyta; Magnoliopsida; Malpighiales; Euphorbiaceae.
GGAAGGUUCAACAUAAGCAGAGGAACAAGCGCUAGACUUGUGGUGGUUAACUGUUGAUUUUUUCCGAACGAAUGCCUUAAGCAUACGGCAUUCUGCUUCAAGGUUAGCAACCUUCUUGAUACUCUCGAGCUGUUGUUUGCUGGCCGUUUCAGCAGCAUGUGUGCUUAAGUCUCUCUCAGAUGUCAUUAAUUUGAGCUCCUCAGAUAUCGAAGCAAGCUCAAUCUUGAGUUUUGAGUUCUGUUUCUCCACAUAUUCAAGCUUACACUGAAGAUCUUUGACGUUGCUGUCUUUGGAUUUAGAAUUUUGCAGUUCAGCCUGGAGCUGAACAAGCUUAUUUUCAAGUUCAGACUUUCUAGACUCCCAUUCAGAACUUGUCUUGGCAACAGUGACCUGGACAUUCUGCUCUUGCUCUUCUCUCGACUGUCGGAGCUGUCUCAGACACUCUUUAAGUGCUCCAUCUAGAUGACUGAUACGCUCUUCAAGGAUUGAGUUCUUUUGGUUUGCUGUCUCAACUAGUCUUUUCUGGAUCAAUACUUCUGCUUCAGCCGUCUCCCAUCCUGAGACAGCUUCCUCUGCUACUUUUGCAUGUUGCUUUACCAAGUCUUCCUUCUCGCGGAUAGUCUCAAGAGCUUCUGAUAAUUUAGCUGAUAGAGUCUUAACAGUUUCAUUAAGUUCUUCAAUGGUGGGAGCUGUUUUAGAUGUGACUUCAGGUGACUGAAUGUUGUGAUUCAGAGGUUCCUGAUCAUCUGAGAAAUGGGAUGAAAUGGAUCCGCCAGAGCUUUCAGUUUCACCACUCGGACUCGAUUUCCUCCGCCACAACCAACUCCGCCGGUCCAUCCAAACUCUACCUCCUCAUUUUUUGUUUGUUUGUUUUGCUCAACAAAGAAAUAAAUAAGCAAAAUAGCAAAGGUUUGCCCUAUACCUAAACAAUUGAAAAACGGGGGCUGCCUUUGAUUACAAUUCACAUCUCACAGUCACUACCUAACACUAUUUCAAAUUGGAGGUAUUUCAAUUUCAAAUUAUAAACUAAGAUCCAUUCCCCAUAAACAAUCAUUACACUCAAACCCAAUUUGAGGAUAAACCCACACAAAAACUGAAAAAUAUUAUGACCCACCAGAAAGAGGAUACCCCU